RNAcentral lists this long non-coding RNA (1018 nucleotides) under Chelonoidis abingdonii (Abingdon island giant tortoise). RNAcentral describes it as "lncRNA (ENSCABG00000010765.1)". The record is from RNAcentral. Lineage: Eukaryota; Metazoa; Chordata; Testudines; Testudinidae.
UUUUUUUUUUUUUUUAAAUAAAGGCAAAGGAAAUGAAAUUUGGAACAAAGGGCUAGAGUCACAAGCGGACUUCCAUUCACAAAACCCCAGAAGAAAAGGUAUGGAAAAUAAUCUCAGCAAAUACUUUCUGCAUGAGCCAUACAAGCAUCGUUGGAGCAACUCUGUCACAGGAGAAGCAGUCCAGCCCCCUCUACCCAAGGAGCAAGAUGAAUCCGAUGUGCAGCCACACUUGUGGAUGUGGGUGAACCCCAAUCUGGUUUGCCCCAUAACAGGGUACCUCAGUAAGGGAGUCCCAGGAAAACCAGUGCAUUUGGUAGCUCCUGCACCCAAGGCAGCUGUUACAAAACCUACUUCAGUAAAACCAAGGCCCCCAGUAGCUGCUGCCCUACAAACUUCCUCUGGACAAUGUGUUUCAGUGCCCUUAGUAACUGCUGCACCCAAGGUCUCCGCUAGAAAAUAUAGUUCAGUAAAGACAGUGGCUCUCAUCAAUGCCCUGCAGACUUCUCCUGUAGCCUCUGUUUCCAUACUCCCAUUGGCUGCUUCUGAUCCUGUGACCCUGCAGGCUUCCACAGUCAAGAAUGUUCCCAGAAAACCAGUGUUCCCUGUAUUAUUGGCAGCUGUUGCACCAAAGGCUUCUACUCCAGUAAAACCUGUACCCCCAGUAUCUGCUGCAUCCAAGGCUUCUCAUAGAAAACAUGCUUCAGGAAAGACAGUGCCCCCAGUAGCUGACACCAUCCAGGUUUGCGCGCACACACCAGGAAAAACCAUGUCCCUGGAAGCUGCAGCACUUGUGGACUCCUAUCAAAAGCCAGUCUUAAUUGCCUACAAGCAACUUUGUCCCAAGGAGGAGGUACUACUGUGCUCCAGCAAAGCAAAGGUAUGUUAGAUAGAUAUUCAGUGCACAUGAAGCCCACGUGGCUUACUGUUGUUUUGGAGGCUGCUGGCUCCUGAUCUCGCUAGCAGCAGCAGCAUCAGAGGAGCUAGUGGUAGCACAGCUGUACAAUUGAGAGAGCGUGAA